Non-coding RNA from Paramuricea clavata, 579 nucleotides. The record is from the annotation of a GenBank genome assembly. NCBI's taxonomy places the organism in Eukaryota, Metazoa, Cnidaria, Anthozoa, Malacalcyonacea, Plexauridae.
UGAUACAUAUAAGCCAAAAACUCAAAGAGAAAAUUGCUAAAAAAGCCAACUAUAAACCGUACGCGUUUCGUGUUCCUCACGCAAAUAGUGAUCAUGUCGAAUCGAUAUUUUGUCACGUCAACAGCUUCAACUGGAUUUAGGGCUAUUUUUCUCGCGUUUCCUUCGGUGAAAAUUUUUUAAACUUUGCACGUUUGCUAAGCAUGACGAUUCGCCAAACAUAUCAAAAUUUCAAGAAAUUCUAUAAGACAGAUUUUUUGUAGUCGUUAUUCAUGAAUAUCUCAAAACCUGCCUUAUAAACAUCCCUUCAAAUUUUAAUAUGUCACUCCCCUUUCAACCAUAAAUCUUAAAAAAAAAAUUCAGAAAAAUUGACCGAAGGAAAAAAAAGAUAUUGCCGUUUGAUUGUAAAAUUAGACAAUAAAAGUGCAAAAGAUGAAACGUCAUGGUUGCCAUGGCACCACUAACACUGUUCCUAUUUGUUCAUAUGUCGACAGCAGAAGACUUCUGAACUUUCCUGGAAAUGAUUAUAUUGCCCUGUCUUAAGUGUGUUCAAUAUAAAUUUGGUUCAAAACGAAGGUUACC